CCUACGGGGGGCUGCAGUGGGGAAUAUUGCACAAUGGGCGCAAGCCUGAUGCAGCCAUGCCGCGUGUGUGAAGAAGGCCUUCGGGUUGUAAAGCACUUUCAGCGGGGAGGAAGGCGGUGAGGUUAAUAACCUCAUCGAUUGACGUUACCCGCAGAAGAAGCACCGGCUAACUCCGUGCCAGCAGCCGCGGUAAUACGGAGGGUGCAAGCGUUAAUCGGAAUUACUGGGCGUAAAGCGCACGCAGGCGGUCUGUCAAGUCGGAUGUGAAAUCCCCGGGCUCAACCUGGGAACUGCAUUCGAAACUGGCAGGCUAGAGUCUUGUAGAGGGGGGUAGGAUUCCAGGUGUAGCGGUGAAAUGCGUAGAGAUCUGGAGGAAUACCGGUGGUGAAGGCGGCCCCCUGGACAAAGACUGACGCUCAGGUGCGAAAGCGUGGGGAGCAAACAGGAUUAGAUACCCGAGUAGUC
RNAcentral lists this ribosomal RNA (465 nucleotides) under uncultured Klebsiella sp. RNAcentral describes it as "bacterial SSU rRNA". It matches the Rfam family "Bacterial small subunit ribosomal RNA", at positions 338 to 795 of the family's 1533-position model. Lineage: Bacteria; Pseudomonadati; Pseudomonadota; Gammaproteobacteria; Enterobacterales; Enterobacteriaceae. The record is from RNAcentral.